Molecule: unclassified non-coding RNA, 348 nt
Filed under: soil metagenome
Description: partial contains 5.8S ribosomal RNA, internal transcribed spacer 2, and large subunit ribosomal RNA
Rfam family: 5.8S ribosomal RNA (bases 1-120)
Source: RNAcentral
GAUGAAGAACGCAGCGAAAUGCGAUAAGUAAUGUGAAUUGCAGAAUUCAGUGAAUCAUCGAGUCUUUGAACGCACAUUGCGCCCCCUGGUAUUCCGGGGGGCAUGCCUGUCCGAGCGUCAUUGCUGCCCUCAAGCACGGCUUGUGUGUUGGGCCCCGCCCCCCGGCUCCCGGGGGGCGGGCCCGAAAGGCAGCGGCGGCACCGCGUCCGGUCCUCGAGCGUAUGGGGCUUCGUCACCCGCUCCGUAGGCCCGGCCGGCGCCCGCCGGCGACCCCCCUCAAUCUUUUCAGGUUGACCUCGGAUCAGGUAGGGAUAACCGCUGAACUUAAGCAUAUCAAUAAGCGGAGGA